UACGGAGGGUGCAAGCGUUAUCCGGAUUCACUGGGUUUAAAGGGUGCGUAGGCGGGCAGGUAAGUCCGUGGUGAAAUCUCUGAGCUUAACUCAGAAACUGCCAUGGAUACUAUUUGUCUUGAAUAUUGUGGAGGCAAGCGGAAUAUGUCAUGUAGCGGUGAAAUGCUUAGAUAUGACAUAGAACAUCAAUUGCGAAGGCAGCUUACUACCCGAAUAUUGACACUGAGGCACGAAAGCGUGGGGAUCAAACAGG
RNAcentral lists this ribosomal RNA (253 nucleotides) under uncultured bacterium. RNAcentral's name for it is "partial 16S ribosomal RNA". It matches the Rfam family "Bacterial small subunit ribosomal RNA", at positions 524 to 776 of the family's 1533-position model. The record is from RNAcentral.